This 400-nucleotide ribosomal RNA is filed under the name uncultured bacterium. Its description in RNAcentral is "bacterial SSU rRNA". It matches the Rfam family "Bacterial small subunit ribosomal RNA", at positions 957 to 1356 of the family's 1533-position model. The record is from RNAcentral.
GAACGCGAAGAACCUUACCUACCCUUGACAUCCAGAGAAUCUGUUAGAGAUAGCGGAGUGCCUUCGGGAACUCUGAGACAGGUGUUGCAUGGCGGUGGUCAGCUCGUGUCUUGAGAUGUUGGGUUAAGUCCCGUAACGAGCGCAACCCUUAUCCUUAGUUGCCAGCAGGUGAUGGGGGGAACUCUAGGGAGACUGCCGGUGAUAACCCGGAGGAAGGUGGGGAGGACGUCAAGUCAUCAUGGCCCUUAUGGCUAGGGCUCCCCACUUGCUACAAUGGCCGGUACAGAGGGCAGCGAACUCCGGAAAGGAAGCAAAUCCCAAAAACCCGGUCCAAGUCCGGAUUGGAGUCUGCAACUCGCCUCCAUGAAGUCGGAAUCGUUGGUAUUCGCGAAUCAGACCU